This 398-nucleotide ribosomal RNA is filed under the name uncultured bacterium. RNAcentral's name for it is "partial 16S ribosomal RNA". It matches the Rfam family "Bacterial small subunit ribosomal RNA", at positions 523 to 918 of the family's 1533-position model. The record is from RNAcentral.
AUACGUAGGGGGCAAGCGUUAUCCGGAUUUACUGGGCGUAAAGAGCUCGUAGGUGGUUUGUCGCGUCGUCUGUGAAAUUCCGGGGCUUAACUCCGGGCGUGCAGGCGAUACGGGCAUAACUUGAGUACUGUAGGGGAGACUGGAAUUCCUGGUGUAGCGGUGAAAUGCGCAGAUAUCAGGAGGAACACCGGUGGCGAAGGCGGGUCUCUGGGCAGUAACUGACGCUGAGGAGCGAAAGCAUGGGUAGCGAACAGGAUUAGAUCCCCUGGUAGUCCAUGCCGUAAACGGUGGGCGCUAGGUGUAGGGGUCUUCCACGACUUCUGUGCCGUAGCUAACGCAUUAAGCGCCCCGCCUGGGGAGUACGGCCGCAAGGCUAAAACUCAAAUGAAUUGACGGGG